RNAcentral lists this long non-coding RNA (447 nucleotides) under Equus asinus (donkey). Its description in RNAcentral is "lncRNA (ENSEASG00005029609.1)". The record is from RNAcentral. Lineage: Eukaryota; Metazoa; Chordata; Mammalia; Perissodactyla; Equidae.
GAAAGGAAGAACUGUGAAGCAGACACAGAAAGACCAUCUCGCCUUAUGAAGUGCCUUCUUUGGGUACUGGAUUUCGUCCAGGUUGACAGCAAUAGCAGCAUGACAUGCUGCUGGGCAACUAAAUGCCUGGAGACCAUAGUUGUGCUCAAAUCUACGGACCUUACUAUAGCCCAACCCUCAAAACCACUCGGUGCAGGCAGAAAGGUGGCAUCAAGAAGAAAGCAUGGAAUUCAACCCAACUAAUGAAAGGAAAACUUUGCCAAUUCCUGGAUUGCAGACCAUUAAACAAGUGCAGUUGUGUGAUUCUUAUGAUCUGAAGACCUUUCUCUCUGCACACACACGUAUACAGAUUUAAAAAUACUGUAGUUCUAGUCUCUUCAAGAAAAUUAUCUCAUGUAGAUUGAUUUAAAUGGUAUGGUGGUGGAUGUAUUUGUUAUAAUGAUGGGC